RNAcentral lists this ribosomal RNA (253 nucleotides) under uncultured bacterium. Its description in RNAcentral is "partial 16S ribosomal RNA". It matches the Rfam family "Bacterial small subunit ribosomal RNA", at positions 524 to 776 of the family's 1533-position model. The record is from RNAcentral.
UACGUAGGGAGCUAGCGUUACUCGGAAUCACUGGGCGUAAAGCGUAUGUAGGCGGAAUUUCAAGUCAGGGGUGAAAUCCCGGGGCUCAACCCCGGAAUUGCCUUUGAAACUGUAAUUCUUGAGUAUGGUAGAGGAUGGUGGAAUUUCCAGUGUAGAGGUGAAAUUCGUAGAUAUUCGCAAGAACACCAGUGGCGAAGGCGGCUCACUGGCCCGGUACUGACGCUGAGGUGCGAAAGCGUGGGGAGCAAACAGG